GGGGGUUUAGCUCAGCGGCAUAAGCGCCUGCCUUGAAAGCAGGCAGUCGUGAGUUCGAUCCCUGCCUCCGCUA
Molecule: transfer RNA, 73 nt
Filed under: Cavia porcellus (domestic guinea pig)
Lineage: Eukaryota; Metazoa; Chordata; Mammalia; Rodentia; Caviidae
Rfam family: tRNA
About the family: Transfer RNA (tRNA) molecules are approximately 80 nucleotides in length. Their secondary structure includes four short double-helical elements and three loops (D, anti-codon, and T loops).
Source: Rfam by way of RNAcentral